GUGCCAGCAGCCGCGGUAAGACGAACCGUGCGAACGUUGUUCGGAAUCACUGGGCAUAAAGGGCGCGUAGGCGGCUUUUCAAGUCAGGGGUGAAAUCCGGCAGCUUAACUGUCGAAGUGCCCUUGAUACUGAGGAGCUCGAGGGAGGUAGGGGUGUGUGGAACUUCCGGUGGAGCGGUGAAAUGCGUUGAUAUCGGAAGGAACGCCGGUGGCGAAAGCGACGCACUGGACCUCUUCUGACGCUGAGGCGCGAAAGCCAGGGGAGCAAACGGGAUUAGAUACCCGUGUAGUCC
RNAcentral lists this ribosomal RNA (292 nucleotides) under uncultured bacterium. RNAcentral describes it as "partial 16S ribosomal RNA". It matches the Rfam family "Bacterial small subunit ribosomal RNA", at positions 505 to 796 of the family's 1533-position model. The record is from RNAcentral.